Long non-coding RNA from Erigeron canadensis, 2591 nucleotides. RefSeq lists it as uncharacterized. The transcript has 4 exons. The record is from RefSeq and is a predicted model, not a curated record. Lineage: Eukaryota; Viridiplantae; Streptophyta; Magnoliopsida; Asterales; Asteraceae.
GAUUAUUUUGUUAAUCUUCCUGUGGUGCAUACGAAAUAGAGAACUAAGAAUGAAUGUUGAUUUAUAUGUUUAAUUAGUUUGCAGAUUUUUAUAGGCCAUAAUAGGUCUGGUUGUAGUUCCAAAUGAAUUUGGUUGUCGACUCUGCAUGAGGUCUUUUUGCAGCCAUGGCGGAUGUAUCCUCUUUUGUUCCAGAUUUUACCCAUCAAUCUGAGCCUCAUACCUUUUAUGUUUUUCAUUUAUUUUGAUUUUCAAAAUUUUAAACAAAAUUUUACUUUGAUUUAUAUGUGUUGCCAUAUCGGGAUAUUGUGAAGGGUAAUUAGAGGUUUCCUGUCCAAGUUACUUGGAAAGUAUGAGUAUUUGAUUGGAAGUUUUUUUUGCAAGACUAAUAACAUAUUUCUGUAGCACAAUGUAUAUUCAGGUAGUAUAAGUAUCACCUCUAUGCAUGGCAAUUCUGGACCCGAUUAUAUACGAAUUAAUGUAUUAGGGUUAUGACUUAUGAUUUAGUAAUUGCUGCUGAAAAUAAGACUGACACUUGGUGAUGCAUCAAUUGUGCUAUUAUGUUCACCCGUUCUUUUGUAGACACCAUUCAGGUAACUUACCUCAUGUCAUUAGAGCUGUUGUAGUUGGAGCGCUACACCUUGACUAGUUGUGUGUAUCUCCAGUAACCACAAAUGUAGGUGCAAUGUUACAUUUUUAAUUAUUUCAAGCACUAUUGAUGUCCUUCGUUUCAGGUGAAGUUCACACUUUGACAUUUUAGAUGACCCAUGUACAAUCUCACCAACAAUCUCAUGACUUCAAUUAUUAGAGAAACUUAAAAUUUCUCUUUGAUCUCAUAUUAAGUUCAAUAUCUUAUUAGGUUCAACUCAACUUUUCAGUAUUUAACAUUGUUUAGAGCAUUGAUUUAGGCUUCUGGCUCAGUGUAGAAAACAUAAGAAGUAUGUGAGAUUUUUGAUAUGUCCUACCCUAGUAAUGAUUGUAAAUCUCUUUUGCCACAUUUGCCAAGCCACAGGUGUUAUGGCUAUGCCUUUUUUGUGAUGAUUAUUUUGUUAAAUCUAACUCCAGUGCAUACAAAAUAGAGAACUAAGAAUGAAUGUUAAUUUAUAUGUUUAUUCAGUUUGCGAUUUUUCAUAGGCCAUGAUUAGUCAGGUUGUAGCUCCAAAUUGAUCUUGUUGGCUCUAGAUCUUUUGUACCUUAUAUUUGUAGUUCCGUGGUGAUCUGAAUAUUUUUGUUAUUUUAUUUUAAAGGUGUUUUUCAUGCAUAGAAUUUCUAUUAUUUUUUAAAUUCCUCGAGAUUUUGUGCAACCAAAGAGCCCAAACAUGUCGAUUUGUAAAAUGUUUGAGAAAAAUCAAAUGUUUGAGAAAAACUUGAUGCUAUGGGAGCUUUCGUUGUAGCUGCAGUGGAGUGAGAUUCUUCAUGGUCUAAUCCGUUUUCCUUUAAACUUUCCUAUGUUUGAUUAUGCGAUAUUAAUAAGUUUGAUGUAAUUGAUAAUAUUUACCAAUUGAAUAAUCUUUGAUUUCAUAUUGGUUCAGUAUCUUUCUAAGUUCAUCUCAACCCAAUGUUAGAGAUGUCUUUGAAAUUCUUUAUAUGAUUGACGGUAAUUUCUGCAAUAUAAAAUAUGGAGUCGCAUCUUAUCCGAAAAGGCUACAGCUAUUGUCAAAACCUUAUCUUUUUUUGUAGUCGAUUCUGGCUAUAUGUUAGUUAACCUUUUUGCUGACUUUGCAAUAUUAUAAAGUGCGUGAACGUGUACUACUAACCAUACAGUUUGGUGCAAGUAAUAGUAAUGUUGUGAAGAUGUAGUAUUAAGUUGGACAUGGGAGUUGGUAUAAGGGCCUACUAAAAGAUAAUUGUGAGGCUACAUGACCUUCAUCUCCUACCGGAUUUAGCUAUUUUGAAAUUUCACAAGAGAGCAUGGCACAUAUUAGUUGUUGGCUUGUACUUGACACCGCCGAAGAUCUUCUAGUGUCUGCUGCAUCUAUAGCAUGCAGCUGUAGUACGGGUAAACAGAAAAGAUUUUUUAUAAAACAGAAUCGCUCACGCAGGUUGCGUAUUUGACUCACAGUGAUCGAAAUGCCAUAUCUCUUGUAAAGCCAUCGGAAGGCCUGGUCCAAGUUGAUGAAAGGUCUUUGAAAGACUUGUAUAAAAUAUCAAAAAAACACAAUUUAGUGGUAUAUUCAGGGGGAAAGACUUGCUAAUUGGUUUUGAUAUUCUAUAUCGUUUGAGAGAUCUACGGUAUGGAACAGAAGGUCUUAGAUACAAGAAGUUUACAAAUCCUUGGAGCAAUGUGCCAAAACUUUUCAAAGUUUGAUCUCAAAGUGGGUUUUUGUCAAUUAGGCAUUAUGCCUAGUGACAGACCAAAGACAACAUUCUGCAUCCCCAACCACCACUACCAAUGGAAAGUAAUGCCAUUUGGAUUGAAAUAAUGAAGCUUGUACCAAAUCGCGACUUACCACGUACGGCGAGCAGAUCAGAUGGAUAACCUUUUUCCUUCAGUGGAGGACUUGACGUGUCUAAACUUAUCUAGGCUGGUUUUACCUCAUAGUCAAUUCAGAAUAUGUGUUAACCAACUUUGGUGCUAAAGUCGCAGCACAUAU